GGGCCCGCACAAGCGGUGGAGCAUGUGGUUUAAUUCGAUGCAACGCGAAGAACCUUACCUACUCUUGACAUCCUCAGAAGAGACUGGAGACAGUCUUGUGCCUUCGGGAACUGAGAGACAGGUGCUGCAUGGCUGUCGUCAGCUCGUGUUGUGAAAUGUUGGGUUAAGUCCCGCAACGAGCGCAACCCUUAUCCUUGUUUGCCAGCACUUCGGGUGGGAACUCCAGGGAGACUGCCGGUGAUAAACCGGAGGAAGGUGGGGACGACGUCAAGUCAUCAUGGCCCUUACGAGUAGGGCUACACACGUGCUACAAUGGCGCAUACAGAGGGCGGCCAACUUGCGAAAGUGAGCGAAUCCCAAAAAGUGCGUCGUAGUCCGGAUUGGAGUCUGCAACUCGACUCCAUGAAGUCGGAAUCGCUAGUAAUCGUGGAUC
This 433-nucleotide ribosomal RNA is filed under the name uncultured bacterium. Its description in RNAcentral is "bacterial SSU rRNA". It matches the Rfam family "Bacterial small subunit ribosomal RNA", at positions 917 to 1350 of the family's 1533-position model. The record is from RNAcentral.